Molecule: ribosomal RNA, 460 nt
Filed under: uncultured soil bacterium
Lineage: Bacteria
Description: bacterial SSU rRNA
Rfam family: Bacterial small subunit ribosomal RNA
Source: RNAcentral
AGAUUGAACGCUGGCGGCAUGCCUUACACAUGCAAGUCGAACGGCAGCACGGGGGCAACCCUGGUGGCGAGUGGCGAACGGGUGAGUAACAUAUCGGAACGUGCCCUGGAGUGGGGGGACAACUAGUCGAAAGACUAGCUAAUACCGCAUACGAUCUACGGAUGAAAGUGGGGGAUCGCAAGACCUCAUGCUCGUGGAGCGGCCGAUAUCUGAUUAGCUAGUUGGUGGGGUAAAGCUACCAAGGCAUCGAUCAGUAGCUGGUCUGAGAGGACGACCAGCCACACUGGGACUGAGACACGGCCCAGACUCCUACGGGAGGCAGCAGUGGGGAAUUUUUGGACAAGUGGGCGCAAGCCUGAUCCGAGCAAUGCCGCGUGAGUAGAAGAAGGCCUUCGGUUGUAAGCUCUUUGUCGAGGAAGAACGGUUCUGCUUAAUAUCUAGGAGCUAAUGACGGUACCUA